CCUACGGGCGGCAGCAGUAGGGAAUAUUGGGCAAUGGACGCAAGCCUGACCCAGCAACGCCGCGUGAAGGAAGAAGGCUUUCGGGUUGUAAACUUCUGUUGUCAGGGAAGAGUAACAGACAGUACCUGCCGAAUCAUCCACGACUAACUACGUGCCAGCAGCCGCGGUAAUACGUAGGUGGCAAGCGUUGUCCGGAUUUACUGGGUGUAAAGGGCGUGUAGCCGGGUUGACAAGUCCGAUGUGAAAUCCUGCGGCUUAACCGAAGAACUGCAUUUGAAACUGUUGAUCUUGAGUACUGGAGAGGAGGACGGAAUUCCUAGUGUAGCGGUGAAAUGCGUAGAUAUUAGGAGGAACACCAGUGGCGAAGGCGGUCUGCUGGACAGUAACUGACGGUGAGGCGCGAAAGCGUGGGGAGCAAACAGGAUUAGAUACCCGAGUAGUC
RNAcentral lists this ribosomal RNA (442 nucleotides) under uncultured bacterium. Its description in RNAcentral is "partial 16S ribosomal RNA". It matches the Rfam family "Bacterial small subunit ribosomal RNA", at positions 338 to 795 of the family's 1533-position model. The record is from RNAcentral.